This 234-nucleotide long non-coding RNA is filed under the name Hordeum vulgare. RNAcentral describes it as "long non-coding RNA (HVUL_LNC012045)". Lineage: Eukaryota; Viridiplantae; Streptophyta; Magnoliopsida; Poales; Poaceae. The record is from RNAcentral.
AGGAGUAGGAGGAGGAGGAGGAGGAGGAGAAGAAGAAGAAGAAGAAGAAGAAGAAUAAGAGGAGAAGAAAAAAAUAAGAAGGACAAGAAGAAGAAGAAGAAGAAGAAGAAGAAGAAGAGAAGAAAAAAAUAAGAAGGAGAAGAAGUAAAGAAGAAGAGAAGAAGAGAAUAAGAAAAUAAUAAGAAGGAGAAGAAGAGAAAAAAGAAGAAGAAGUUGAUUUUUUAUUGUUUGGUA